Non-coding RNA from Leptotrichia sp. oral taxon 847, 74 nucleotides. The record is from Rfam. Lineage: Bacteria; Fusobacteriati; Fusobacteriota; Fusobacteriia; Fusobacteriales; Leptotrichiaceae.
GUCUCCGUAGCUCAGCUGGUUAGAGCAUCUGACUGUUAAUCAGAGGGCCGUUGGUUCAAGUCCAACCGGGGACG